This 269-nucleotide long non-coding RNA is filed under the name Pan troglodytes (chimpanzee). RNAcentral's name for it is "lincRNA". Lineage: Eukaryota; Metazoa; Chordata; Mammalia; Primates; Hominidae. The record is from RNAcentral.
CUGGUUAUAAGCUUCUGAACAAUCAUAAGGAUGGUGCCAUUUGACAUUCGUUUACAGAGGAUGAAACUGAGGCACAGAGAAGUCAAGCAUCUUGUGCAGGGCCACGCAGCCUGCUCCAGAGCCGGGCUCUGACCCUCCACAAGAGCCAUCACUAAAGUUCCACUUACCACUGCACCUUCAAUCUCUUCCUCUCUCCAUCCCUCCCACAUGUUCACAGACAAAAUCUUCUUCCUUAUUUAAUAAAACAAUAUAAUGACCAGCCUGGCAAA